UUUGUUCAAGUAAGUGCGGACGAUGAGCCU
This 30-nucleotide small RNA is filed under the name Bombyx mori (domestic silkworm). RNAcentral describes it as "ovarian small RNA-38440". The record is from RNAcentral. Lineage: Eukaryota; Metazoa; Arthropoda; Insecta; Lepidoptera; Bombycidae.